RNAcentral lists this long non-coding RNA (924 nucleotides) under Dromaius novaehollandiae (emu). RNAcentral describes it as "lncRNA (ENSDNVG00000004785.1)". Lineage: Eukaryota; Metazoa; Chordata; Aves; Casuariiformes; Dromaiidae. The record is from RNAcentral.
CGGCCCACAUCUAAUGGAAACCCAAGCCCACUGUCACUAGCAGCUCGUGGCCACGGACGCUCUUGGCUUGGGCGACACAUCCGUGUCCUGGUGCUAAACCGCCUCGGUUGAGUCCUUAGGAACAAUGCUGGGGUGAAGUGGAUGUGUUUCUACUACUGUGUUUCACCGAAACAGCUGUGCAACAGACUUCCUUUCGAUUGAAAGCUUCAUGGACUAUCAUCGCCAUCAGCAGCUGUGGGAGCAGGAGAAUUAGAAACAAGCUCUUUACGGAGGCUACCUGUGUCCUGCUGGGAGACCAGAGCAACUUCGAGGUGGAGGAGAGAAGCCUACUAGCUGUGCCUGGGAACUGCUCCUUGCCUUAGCCCCCACUUGUGUCCUCUAUGGGUCACUGCGGAGGUGAAGCCGAGACUUGUGGCUUCGUACUGAAGGAUGCAGGUGCCAAAUAUCAGCAAUACGUCUUCAUUGUAUGGGCCAAACAACAUUCCUGCUUCGUCAGCCUUCUGUAGGAUGGCACAGGGAUAAUACACAAUUGUUCCAGGUUCAGCCAACUGUGAUGCCUCAAGACAUAAAGCAUAUUCCCCUAAAGUAAUUUUGUUCUUUAUCCUUAAAGAACACAGCCAAACCCUCAAAACUACACAUUAACUUUAGUAGGACAACUGUAUUGCUAAUGCUUAACAGAUGCGAUUGAACCUUUUCUGUUAAAAUCCUCAGUUCCAGAAAUUUCCCUUGUUCUGACACUUUAAGAAGGUGAAAUUGUCCUUGAAAGGACAAAGUUCUUCCUUCCAGACUUGACAUAUUUUUCUAGAACCCUCCUACAUUGUACUUUGGUAUUUCAGUGUUGUGAAGUAUAGUAUCAGCUCAGUUCUGCAAAACUAUUGAGUUAUUGUACUGGUUAAUAAAGUGAAAUUUAUACAAGCUUAAUCA